This is a non-coding RNA of Sebastes umbrosus (honeycomb rockfish), 635 nucleotides long. NCBI's taxonomy places the organism in Eukaryota, Metazoa, Chordata, Actinopteri, Perciformes, Sebastidae. The record is from the annotation of a RefSeq genome assembly.
AUGACUCUCAUCACCAUCCUCAUCUGGACGCUGGCCUGCUGCUGUUUUACAGGAUGCAGCGGUCAGGUGACUGUGACUCAGCCUCCAGUAGUGACAUCUACUCCAGGAUCCACCGUCUCUCUCACCUGUAAGACCAGCCAAGCUGUUUACAGAUACAGUGAUGGAGAUUGGGCUAUGUUCUGGUAUCAACAGAAAUCUGGACAGCCUCCAAAGCUUCUAAUAAAAUAUGCGAGCACACGUGAAUCAGGAACAGCAGCUCGGUUUAGUGGCAGUGGAAGCAGCUCUGACUUCACUUUCACCAUCAGUGGAGUUCAGACUGAAGACGCAGCAGUUUAUUACUGUAAGAGUUACCAUGAAAUAAACAGUGCUGAUGUGUUCACACAGUGAUUUAGAGCCGUACAAAAACCUCCUUCAGUUUGACUGAAGUGAAACCGGCCUGCUGCAGGUGCAGAGGGUUGGUGAAGAGACUGUGAUGAGGAGAACUGGUCCAGUGAACACAACACAAGAGUCAUCAAGCAGAACCACAAUGAAUCUAAAUAAAACUGGAACAAACUCACAGACGCUCUUCCAUCUACAGUUUAAACUUAUAAUCUUGUAAUUCAGUCUCUUUAUGAGUAAACUGGGGAGGUUAAACU